GUCUAUACUUUUUUUAGAAAAAUA
This 24-nucleotide transfer RNA is filed under the name Nicrophorus melissae. RNAcentral describes it as "partial tRNA-Leu". The record is from RNAcentral. RNAcentral also lists the same sequence under 1 other name. Lineage: Eukaryota; Metazoa; Arthropoda; Insecta; Coleoptera; Silphidae.